AGCGAACGCUGGCGGCAGGCUUAACACAUGCAAGUCGAGCGGGCACUUCGGUGUCAGCGGCAGACGGGUGAGUCACACGUGGGAACGUACCCUUCGGUUCGGAAUAACGCUGGGAAACUAGCGCUAAUACCGGAUACGCCCUUCUGGGGAAAGGUUUACUGCCGAAGGAUCGGCCCGCGUCUGAUUAGCUAGUUGGUGGGGUAAUGGCCUACCAAGGCGACGAUCAGUAGCUGGGCUGAGAGGAUGAUCAGCCACACUGGGACUGAGACACGGCCCAGACUCCUACGGGAGGCAGCAGUGGGGAAUAUUGGACAAUGGGCGCAAGCCUGAUCCAGCCAUGCCGCGUGAGUGAUGAAGGCCUUAGGGUUGUAAAGCUCUUUUGUCCGGGACGAUAAUGACGGUACCGGAAGAAUAAGCCCCGGCUAACUUCGUG
RNAcentral lists this ribosomal RNA (433 nucleotides) under uncultured bacterium. RNAcentral's name for it is "partial 16S ribosomal RNA". It matches the Rfam family "Bacterial small subunit ribosomal RNA", at positions 29 to 507 of the family's 1533-position model. The record is from RNAcentral.